UUUCAUUUUUAAUUGUACAUAUGUGAUUAAAACAGACAUCUAAAUUUUUGCAUGUGCUUCUAGAGACUAGACAACUAUCAAUUUUGAAGCCGAGGGCGUCUGUACUAUUUCAUACAGAAGAGGGAGUCUCAUGAGAGCAUUCAAAGAAGGGAAACCAUACCAGAGCUCUGGGACACAUCGGGCUCCCUAUUUGAUCCUCACAGUGGCCCAUGAGUCAAGCAUUACCUGGAUUCUACAAGCUUAACAAUAAUAACAACACAACUGGGCUCCACAAAGAAUCAAUUCUGAUUUAUUCCUCUGUGAUCAACCUGAUCCUGACGCCAUUCUUUCAUCACAAGUACAAAGCUUGAUCAUUAAAGUUUCAAGUUGAGAAGCUUUUGAUUUUAAAUAAGAAGUUUUGAUGACAACGUCCUGGAAAGAGGGAUUCGGAUGUUUUUAUCAUCUUCUCCUUACAUAUUUGAAUACUUUGGAAGAGUUCAGAGCAAGGCAC
RNAcentral lists this long non-coding RNA (490 nucleotides) under Rattus norvegicus (Norway rat). RNAcentral describes it as "long non-coding RNA NONRATT031961". The record is from RNAcentral. Lineage: Eukaryota; Metazoa; Chordata; Mammalia; Rodentia; Muridae.